UACAGAGGGUGCAAGCGUUAUUCGGAAUUACUGGGCGUAAAGCGCAUGUAGGUGGGGUAUCAAGUCAGGUGUGAAAUCCCGGAGCUUAACUUCGGAAUUGCGCUUGAAACUGAUAUUCUUGAGUAUGAGAGAGGAUAGUAGAAUUCCUGGUGUAGAGGUGAAAUUCGUAGAUAUCAGGAGGAAUACCAGAGGCGAAGGCGGCUAUCUGGCUCAUAACUGACACUCAGAUGCGAGAGCGUGGGUAG
Molecule: ribosomal RNA, 245 nt
Filed under: uncultured bacterium
Lineage: Bacteria
Description: partial 16S ribosomal RNA
Rfam family: Bacterial small subunit ribosomal RNA
Source: RNAcentral